This 481-nucleotide ribosomal RNA is filed under the name uncultured bacterium. RNAcentral's name for it is "partial 16S ribosomal RNA". It matches the Rfam family "Bacterial small subunit ribosomal RNA", at positions 28 to 507 of the family's 1533-position model. The record is from RNAcentral.
GACGAACGUUGGCGGCGUGCUUAAUACAUGCAAGUCAACUGAAGCAGUGGUAGCAAUAUCUCUGUGGAGGUGGCGCCCGGGUGAGAAUCCCUUAGGUUAUCUGCCUUAAGGUCUGGCAUCAUUCCGGGAAACCGGGGCUAAUAGCAGAUGAUGCAGCGGCUCGACAUCGAGACCGUUGUUAAAGACAUGACGACUGAAGAUGUGCCUGCGUCUGAUUGGCUGGGUGGCGGGGUACCGGCACACCAAGGCACCGAUGAUUAGCUGGGCUGAGAGGAUGAACAGCCACACUGGAACGGAGACACGGUCCAGGCUACUACGGGAGGGAGCAGUAAGGAAUAUGGCUCAAUGGGAGAAAUCGUGAAGCAGCAACGGCGCGGAAGGUACGAAGAGCUUUUGCUUGUAAACCUCUGUAGUGAGAGAAAAAAAUCCCAAUCUUGGGGACAUGACGGUACCUCAAAAGUAAGCCCCGGCUAACUACGUG